RNAcentral lists this transfer RNA (74 nucleotides) under Stegodyphus mimosarum. It matches the Rfam family "tRNA". Rfam says of the family: Transfer RNA (tRNA) molecules are approximately 80 nucleotides in length. Their secondary structure includes four short double-helical elements and three loops (D, anti-codon, and T loops). The record is from Rfam by way of RNAcentral. Lineage: Eukaryota; Metazoa; Arthropoda; Arachnida; Araneae; Eresidae.
GCCUUUGUGGUGUAGUGGUCAGCACGGCUCGACGCGUAACCGAAAGGUCCAUGGUUCGAUUCCCGGCGAAGGUG